Molecule: ribosomal RNA, 420 nt
Filed under: uncultured bacterium
Lineage: Bacteria
Description: bacterial SSU rRNA
Rfam family: Bacterial small subunit ribosomal RNA
Source: RNAcentral
GAGGAAUAUUGGUCAAUGGACGAGAGUCUGAACCAGCCAAGUCGCGUGAAGGAAGACGGUUCUAUGAAUUGUAAACUUCUUUUGUGCAGGAAUAAAGUGGGUUACGUGUAACCUUUUGUAUGUACUGUACGAAUAAGGAUCGUCUAACUCCGUGCCAGCAGCCGCGGUAAUACGGAGGAUCCGAGCGUUAUCCGGAUUUAUUGGGUUUAAAGGGUGCGUAGGUGGAUUGAUAAGUCAGCGGUGAAAGUUUGCAGCUUAACUGUAAAAUUGCCGUUGAAACUGUCGGUCUUGAGUGCAAAUGAGGUAGGCGGAAUGUGUUGUGUAGCGGUGAAAUGCUUAGAUAUAACACAGAACUCCGAUUGCGAAGGCAGCUUACUGGGAUGCAACUGACACUGAUGCACGAAAGCGUGGGUAUCAAAC